Molecule: long non-coding RNA, 1489 nt
Filed under: Cricetulus griseus (Chinese hamster)
Lineage: Eukaryota; Metazoa; Chordata; Mammalia; Rodentia; Cricetidae
Description: lncRNA (ENSCGRG00015038453.1)
Source: RNAcentral
GGGGCGGGGCGGGGCGGGGCAGCAAGGCUCUGCGGGUUGUUUGCCCUGGAGCCCUAAGAACUAAGCCUGGGCCUAGGAACCGCAGGAAGUCUCUAAUUUCAAAACGGGGCGUUUCCGGAAUGAGCAGAAAAUGAGCAGGUACCACGAGCGGGUCCUAAUGGGGUCCCCACUCCUCCGUGGUUCCCACGGGCGGGGUGGAAGCCGCCGGUUCGGUUUCUUUUUAUUCCAUAUAAAGCAGUGUUUCGCUUGACUCAGAACUUCCUUCAGGAAAUGGACCUUCCUUCCCAACACGGACUUCCUAGAAUUCUUCCCUUCUGUUCCACAGGGCGGCCUAUGGACUGUUCCCACCCGGGAAGGGCCCGCCCCGCCCCGCCCCGCCCCGCCCCCCCAGUGCAGCCAGUAAGUCCUUCCCGGUUGCCUGGCGAUAGGAAGCGGACAGACAGAUAGGAACUGUCUGCUCUUGUGGGAGAUGGCUGCAGAGCGCCGUGACCGGUGCCAGCCCGGAAGCCGAACCGCCCUACCGAGCCCUGAGGGCGACCACAGAAACCCGUCCAGACACACUGAACACAGCAAAGCAGGCGCCUUCCCACACACACCUCCCCGGGUCCUCUGCGACCUUUGGUCUCUUGAGUUUUCAAAACUCUGGAAACCUCUACAGCAGUUAGAAAUCAGGAAUGUUUCUGUAAAAGCAGAGCACUCUACUCGUGCGGUAGCGCCUGUCAUCCGGCCAAGGAGGAAGCAAGAGGAGCAGCUGCACCAGUAGAAUUAAACGUGUAGAAUUAAGCGUGUCCCCCUAGUGCUCUGCACAGGAAGAAAGUCCUCCACCUGACCGCAGGCAGCAGGCCGGCCUCCUACAGGAAAAGCAAAGCCCACUGGUGAUGCCCAAUGUCUCUGCAGCACCAUAGGAGGAGGCCCGAGGCUGCCGUGUCACCUGAGAGAGAGUGUGGGGUCAGCCAGGCCUACAUCUGAGACCAUGUCUAGAGACAAGGGAGGAGCUCCCUCCAAGCCUUGGACUCCAGCUGGUGACACUACUUUAGAAACCUUAAGAGGGAAGCCUAAUCAAAGGCAUACAGGAAACUGAAAAGAAAAGGAAGCUGCCUCCUCCCUCACCCUGUCAUCCCCCAGCUGGGCAAACUGCAUCUCUCCCAUGUGACUCAGCUCUCUCCAUCUACAGUGUCAUUCCACCCAAACCAAAUAAAACAGUGGAGGACUGACUGGAUUCUCAUGUCAAUAUUUGUUUCUGAUUCUGAAAUUCUACAGUAGUAAUAUUUUCCGUGUUACCCAGCCACCUGGGUAGGUUUUAAUUAUAGUGCCUGGGCUGCAGAGGAGCUCAGCAUUCACUGGCUGCUCUUGGAGAAGACCUGCUUUGAUUCCCAGCACUCAAAAGGCAUCUCAGAAGUGUUUGCAAGUGCACCCCAGAGGAUCCAAUAUCCUCAAUAGAACAUGAACAAAAUUUCAAGGAUUUUCUUCCUUCCUUCCUUCCUUCCUU